AGAAUUUGAUCGUGGUUCAGGGUAAACGCUGGCGGUGUGCCUAAGGCAUGCAAGUCGAACGGUAAUCUUCGGAUUACAGUGGCGAACGGGUGAGUAACGCGUACGAAUCUACUCCCAAGAGGAGCAUAACUUUGAGAAAUCAAAGGUAAUUCUCCAUAGUCUCGCAAGAGUAAAGGAUGUAACUAUCCGCUUAGGAAAGAGCGUGCGUUCUAUCAGCUUGUUGGUAGGGUAACGGCCUACCAAGGCUAUGACGGAUAUCGGCUCUGAGAGGAGGGACCGACACAAUGGGACUGAGACACGGCCCAUACUCCUACGGGAGGCAGCAGCUAGGAAUAUUGCGCAAUGGACGAAAGUCUGACGCAGCGACACCGCGUGAGGGAUGACGGCCUUCGGGCUGUAAACCUCUUUUAGCCCCCAUAUCGGGGGCAGAAUAAGCAACUACUAACUACGUGCCAGCAGUCGCGGUAAUACGUAGGUUGCAAGCGUUACCCGGAUUUACUGGGCGUAAAGCGUCUGUAGGUGGUCUGAAAAGUUUCGUUUUAAAUACCCCGGCUCAACUGGGGAAAGGGGCGAAAUACUAUUAGACUAGAGUCAUAUCGGGGCUACUGGAAUUGAUGGUGUAGGGGUGAAAUCCGUGGAUACCAUCAAGAACACCAAGAGCGAAGGCAGGUAGCUAGGUAUGUACUGACACUGAGAGACUAAAGCUAGGGUAGCAAACUGGAUUAGAGACCCAGGUAGUCCUAGCCCUAAACGAUGCUCGCUAGCCUUAUGAAUUUAUUUAUGAGGCGCAAGCUAACGCGUUAAGCGAGCCGCCUGGGGAGUAUAGCCGCAAGGUUGAAACUCAAACGAAUUGGCGGGGAGGCGCACAACCAGUGGAGCGUGUGGUUUAAUUCGACACGAAGCGCUGUACCUUACCUGGGCUUGACAUGUACCUGCAAAUCCAUCGAAAGGUGGACUUCUUCGAGAGUGGUACACAGCUGUUGCAUGGCUGUCGUCAGUUCGUGACGUGAGUUGUUCCCUUAAGUGGGGUAACGAACGCAACCCAUGUCUCGUGUUACUAUGUCACGAGAGACUGCCCAGCAUUAUUUUGUUGGGAGGAAGGAAUGGAAGACGUCAAGUCAGCAUGAUGCUUAUGUCCAGGGCUACACACAUCCUACAAUGGGCUGUACAGAGGGUUGCCAAACCGCGAGGUGGAGCUAAUCCCCCAAAACAGUCCUCAGUUGGGAUUGCAGGCUGCAAUUCGCCUGCAUGAACUUGGAAUUGGUAGUAAUCGCAGAUCAGCAGGCUGCGGUGAAUACGUUCUCGCCUCUUGCACACACUGCCCGUCAAAUCAGCAAAGUCGGGGGUGCCCAACACCUCACAUAUUUUUUGUGGGACUAAGGCAAAUCCGGCGAUGAGGGUUAAGUCGUAACAAGGUA
Molecule: ribosomal RNA, 1418 nt
Filed under: metagenome
Description: bacterial SSU rRNA
Rfam family: Bacterial small subunit ribosomal RNA
Source: RNAcentral